Molecule: unclassified non-coding RNA, 199 nt
Filed under: uncultured Sebacina
Lineage: Eukaryota; Fungi; Basidiomycota; Agaricomycetes; Sebacinales; Sebacinaceae
Description: sequence contains ITS2
Source: RNAcentral
GUACUCUCACACUCCCACUCUUUUGGAUUGGGAGCGGUGGACUUGGGUGUUGCUGCUUUACGGUGGCUCACCUGAAAUGGAGUAGUGCAACUCUCGGUUGGACAUAGUACGGCGUGAUAAGUAUCUUCGCCGGCGCCUCACUCGAGGGUGGCCGAUCGGGAGCUCUGUGCUUCAAACCGUCUUCGGACAACAACUGACA